RNAcentral lists this ribosomal RNA (497 nucleotides) under uncultured bacterium. RNAcentral's name for it is "partial 16S ribosomal RNA". It matches the Rfam family "Bacterial small subunit ribosomal RNA", at positions 28 to 507 of the family's 1533-position model. The record is from RNAcentral.
GAUGAACGCUGGCGGCGUGCCUAAUACAUGCAAGUCGAGCGAACAGAUGAGUAGCUUUCUCCUCUGACGUUAGCGGCGGACGGGUGAGUAACACGUUGAUAACCUACCUAUAAGACUGGGAUAACUUCGGGAAACCGGAGCUAAUACCGGAUAAUAUAUUGAACCGCAUGGUUCAAUAGUGAAAGACGGUUUUGCUGUCACUUAUAGAUGGAUCCGCGCCGCAUUAGCUAGUUGGUAAGGUAACGGCUUACCAAGGCAACGAUGCGUAGCCGACCUGAGAGGGUGAUCGGCCACGCUGGAACUGAGACACGGUCCAGACUCCGACGGGAGGCAGCAGUAGGGAAUCUUCCGCAAUGGGCGAAAGACUGACGGAGCAACGCCGCGUGAGUGAUGAAGGUCUUCGGAUCGUAAAACACUGUUAUUAGGGAAGAACAAAUGUGAAAGUAACUAUGCACGUCUUGACGGUACCUAAUCAGAAAGCCAAGGCUAACUACGUG